RNAcentral lists this ribosomal RNA (1412 nucleotides) under uncultured bacterium. Its description in RNAcentral is "bacterial SSU rRNA". It matches the Rfam family "Bacterial small subunit ribosomal RNA". The record is from RNAcentral.
AUUGAACGCUGGCGGCAUGGCUAAAACAUGCAAGUCGAACGAGAACCCCACAAGGGGGGACAGUGGCGGAAGGGUUAGUAAUACCAUCGAACGUACCCCGAGGUGAGGGAUAGGCAUGGGAAACUGUGCGUAAUACCUCAUGAUCUCCAAGGAGCAAAGAUUUAUCGCCUUGAGAGCGGCGAUGGGCCUAUCAGGUAGUUGGCGGGGUAAAGGCCCACCAAGCCUUAGACGGGUAGCGGGUGUGAGAGCACGGCCCGCAACAUCGGGACUGAGACACUGCCCGGACUCCUACGGGAGGCUGCAGUAACGAAUAUUCCGCAAUGCGCGAAAGCGUGACGGAGCAAUGCCGCGUGCAGGAUGAAGCAGCUUCGCUGUGUAAACUGCUGUCAGGGGCUACUAACUAUGAAGAGCCUCAGAGGAAGGACCGGCUAAACUCGUGCCAGCAGCCGCGGUAAUACGAGUGGUCCAAGCGUUAGUCGGAAUCACUGGGCUUAAAGGGUGCGUAGGCGGACCAGAAAGCGUCUUGUGAAAUCCCCCGGCUCAACCGGGGAACAGCAGGGCGAACUACUGGUCUUGAGGAAGGUAGAGGCCGGCAGAACGAUCGGUGGAGCGGUGGAAUGCGUAGGGAUCGAUCGGAAUGCCAAAGGUGAAGACAGCCGGCUGGGCCUUUCCUGACGCUGAGGCACGAAAGCGUGGGGAGCAAACAGGAUUAGAUACCCUGGUAGUCCACGCCCUAAACGAUGCGCACUAGACUGGUGCGGCUCUCACGCCGUAUCGGUCGUAGAGAAAUUGCUAAGUGCGCCGCCUGGGGAGUACGGUCGCAAGGCUAAAACUCAAAGAAAUUGACGGGGGCUCACACAAGCGGUGGAGCAUGUUGCUUAAUUCGAAGCAACGCGAAGAACCUUACCUGGGUUUGACAUGCAUGGAUUAGUUCCUGGAAACAGGAAUGACGCCCGCAAGGGUGGAACAUGCACAGGUGCUGCAUGGCUGUCGUCAGCUCGUGCUGUGAAGUGUCGCGUUAAGUCGCUUAACGAGCGCAACCCCUGUCGCUAGUUGCCAACACGUAAUGGUGGGGACUCUAGCGAGACUGCCGGUGUCAAACCGGAGGAAGGCGGGGAUGACGUCAAGUCCUCAUGGCCCUUACAUCCAGGGUUGCAAACGUGCUACAAUGGCGAGUACAAAGCGAAGCAAGACCGCGAGGUGGAGCAAAUCGCAAAAAACUCGCCCCAGUUCGGAUUGCAGGCUGCAACCCGCCUGCAUGAAGCCGGAAUCGCUAGUAAUCGGAGAUCAGCUACGCUCCGGUGAAUAUGUUCCUGAGCCUUGUACACACCGCCCGUCAAGUCAUGGGAGCCGGUAGUGCCCGAAGCCGCCACUUCUCAGUGGUGUCUACGGCAAGAUCGGUGACUGGGACU